This 88-nucleotide transfer RNA is filed under the name Candidatus Magasanikiibacteriota bacterium. Its description in RNAcentral is "tRNA-Ser". It matches the Rfam family "tRNA". From Rfam's summary of the family: Transfer RNA (tRNA) molecules are approximately 80 nucleotides in length. Their secondary structure includes four short double-helical elements and three loops (D, anti-codon, and T loops). The record is from RNAcentral. Lineage: Bacteria; Candidatus Magasanikiibacteriota.
GGAAGGGUCGCAUAGUGGUUUAGUGCACCGCCUUGGAAAGGCGGCAGGGUGAAAGCCCUCGGGGGUUCGAAUCCCCCCUCUUCCGCCA